GUUAAAUGAAUCGUCUACAUGGGAACUUAGAAUCUCAAUAUCUCAUAUUUGCUAUAUGGUAUAAAUAGUAUGUCUAUUAAUUGAUUAGGAAGGCAAAUUUGUCAUCAAUUAUAAGUUUAUAUUUGGAUUCCUAAAAAAAAAAGUUUAUACUUGGGCAAUAUGGAGGCACACUCUAACACCGACAGCUAACGAAAACAGGAGAGUGGUCGUCGGUGCACAAGACAUGACAAUGAACGGCUCCCGACAGCUUUUAGAAGAAUCGAAUCACAUCAGAAUGAGAGAGAUCCUGAGGCCGUGUAGGUAUGAGACUACAUGGUUGAAGGAAGACUUAUAAGAGUUGUUUGGUACUACCUAUAUCAAUAAGAUGCAUCUUCUUUUUGGUAGCUCAUUCCAUAAGAACUCCACAGUUAAGCGUGUUUGACUUGGAGCAGUCUUUGGAUUGGUGACCUACGAUAAGUGUGCGAGUGAGGACAAAAUGCACUGAAAAGACUUAUGUUGAUUUGUAGGGUAAGUCGGCAAUGUUUAAAAUCGUCUGGGAUGUUACAUACAAUAGAAAUUAUAAUUUUUUUUAGAGGAGACAUUAUAAAUAGAUGUUGUGUAUGGUUGGAUGAGAUAAUAUAUUUUAAUGGAGAAAAAAUGUGUAUACUUUUGUAAU
RNAcentral lists this long non-coding RNA (655 nucleotides) under Medicago truncatula (barrel medic). RNAcentral describes it as "lncRNA gene17856". The record is from RNAcentral. Lineage: Eukaryota; Viridiplantae; Streptophyta; Magnoliopsida; Fabales; Fabaceae.